ACGGGAGGCAGCAGUGGGGAAUAUUGGGCAAUGGGCGAAAGCCUGACCCAGCAACGCCGCGUGAAGGAAGAAGGCCUUCGGGUUGUAAACUUCUUUUACCAGGGACGAAAAAAGUGACGGUACCUGGAGAAAAAGCAACGGCUAACUACGUGCCAGCAGCCGCGGUAAUACGUAGGGGGCAAGCGUUAUCCGGAUUUACUGGGUGUAAAGGGAGCGUAGACGGCAUGGCAAGUCUGAUGUGAAAACCCGGGGCUCAACCCCGGGACUGCAUUGGAAACUGUCAGGCUUGAGUGCAGGAGAGGUAAGUGGAAUUCCUAGUGUAGCGGUGAAAUGCGUAGAUAUUAGGAGGAACACCAGUGGCGAAGGCGGCUUACUGGACUGUAACUGACGUUGAGGCUCGAAAGCGUGGGGAGCAAACAGGAUUAGAUACCCUGGUA
RNAcentral lists this ribosomal RNA (437 nucleotides) under uncultured Lachnospiraceae bacterium. RNAcentral's name for it is "partial 16S ribosomal RNA". It matches the Rfam family "Bacterial small subunit ribosomal RNA", at positions 341 to 792 of the family's 1533-position model. Lineage: Bacteria; Bacillati; Bacillota; Clostridia; Lachnospirales; Lachnospiraceae. The record is from RNAcentral.